RNAcentral lists this ribosomal RNA (732 nucleotides) under Odorrana jingdongensis (odor frog). RNAcentral's name for it is "partial 12S ribosomal RNA". It matches the Rfam family "Bacterial small subunit ribosomal RNA", at positions 262 to 1385 of the family's 1533-position model. Lineage: Eukaryota; Metazoa; Chordata; Amphibia; Anura; Ranidae. The record is from RNAcentral.
CCUUCACCAGGCCAAGGAGCCGGCAUCAGACACAACCCCUGUCCACAACGCCUAGUCUCACCACACCCCCAAGGGUCAUCAGCAGUGAUAAAUCUUGAGCAUAAGCGAUAGCUUGACUCAGUUAGAGAAAAGAGGGCCGGCCAACCCGGUGCCAGCCGCCGCGGCUACCCCGUGGGGCUCAAGUUGAAAGUCAUCGGCGUUAAGCGUGAUUAAAGUUCUCUUAGAUUAGGGCCAAAUUAAUAUUUAGUUGUUUAAAGCUUGUUAUUAAGAAGAACACAAACGAAAGUUGCCCUAACCCACACACUUGAAUACACGACAGCUGGGGGACAAACUGGGAUCAGAUACCCCACUAUGCCCAGCCGUAAACAAUUAAUCCACAACCAUAAGCGCCAGGGAAUUACGAGCCAAGCUUAAAACCCAAAGGAUUUGACGGUGUCCCACCCCCCUAGAGGAGCCUGUUCUAUAAUCGAUGAUCCCCGCUACACCCGACCAUUUCUUGCUUAUCAGUCUGUAUACCUCCGUCGAAAGCUUACCAUGUGAACGCCCCCACAGUAGGUUCAAUGAUCUCCGUCAAUACGUCAGGUCAAGGUGCAGCUUAAGAAAUGGGAAGCGAUGGGCUACAAUUUCUAACUUAGAACAAACGAAAGGCUAUGUGAAACCAUAGUCACGAAGGCGGAUUUAGUAGUAAAAAGAAAAUAGAGUGUUCUUUUUAACCUGGCUCUGGGACGCGUA